Molecule: ribosomal RNA, 253 nt
Filed under: uncultured bacterium
Lineage: Bacteria
Description: partial 16S ribosomal RNA
Rfam family: Bacterial small subunit ribosomal RNA
Source: RNAcentral
UACGAAGGGGGCUAGCGUUGCUCGGAAUCACUGGGCGUAAAGGGCGCGUAGGCGGCUUAUCAAGUCGGGGGUGAAAGCCCGUGGCUCAACCGCGGAAUGGCCUUCGAUACUGGUAGGCUUGAGACCGGAAGAGGACAGCGGAACUGCGAGUGUAGAGGUGAAAUUCGUAGAUAUUCGCAAGAACACCAGUGGCGAAGGCGGCUGUCUGGUCCGGUUCUGACGCUGAGGCGCGAAAGCGUGGGGAGCAAACAGG